Molecule: long non-coding RNA, 822 nt
Organism: Olea europaea var. sylvestris
Lineage: Eukaryota; Viridiplantae; Streptophyta; Magnoliopsida; Lamiales; Oleaceae
Exons: 2
Source: RefSeq, a predicted model, not a curated record
UCAUUCUGAAAGUUAAACCAUAAAUUAGAAGCAAAUUUAACAAUAAUAAACCGGAAUUUGUCAAUCGCGGUUAUUCAAGCAUCUGCAUACAAAAUUAGUAUGAUAUAUAGAAAAGGAGUCUUGUGUAGGUUAAGUCGUUACAGAAGUAUCGAUAAACUUAAAGAAAGAAGUCGAGAUAAGAAUAAUUCAAUGGAUGGUGAUAUUAUUACCUUACAGUCUUUGGUUUUUUGAGUCUUGAUAAAAGUUGAGGGGUUGCCUUGUCAACUUAAAGCCAGAUGCUGCUCAAACAAUUUUCAAGCUGGAGCGGCAAAUCCUGCAGGCCGGAGGGACGGUUCCCUUAAUAGAAUCAUGCCAUUGAUAUUGCCCUGCUAUGGAAACAAUAGGUCGAAAGCCAACGAGUUAGAAUGCUUUUUCUUAUUAUUUAGCUACUUUGGCUGCUAGAUUCUGUUUAUGUAAUGUAGCUCUAAAAAUUGCACAUAUGGAAUGUCAGAAGAUCAGUAGUGUCGGCCAAGCAGAGUGUCUUGCCUAGUCUCUGUGCAUUUUACCUCAUCUACAUUUCAUUGUUUGCUCACAAAUUUCUUACCUCUAGUUGUUGUUAUUUGUUAAUCUUGUUUUCUCUUAAUUGGUCUUUUCUUCAUUUUAUAACCCGAGUUUUAGUUUUUCAUUUCCUUUCUUCGCCCCUGGUUAAGGGAUGAGAUCAAUGGUCUAGCUACAUGGCACUGAAAAUGUAUCGCAGUGUGAAUAAGUCGAUAGAGUCCGACAGUUCUACCAGUAUAUCAAAAUUUUGUAAUUUUCAGUUAUAGUUAAUUACAUUUUAUUACA